AGAGUUUGAUCAUGGCUCAGAUUGAACGCUGGCGGCAUGCCUUACACAUGCAAGUCGAACGCGAAAGGGGGCAACCCCGAGUAGAGUGGCGAACGGGUGAGUAAUGCAUCGGAACAUUUCCUGUAGCGGGGGACAACCUCGAGAAAUCGAGGCUAAUACCGCAUACGAUCUUCGGAUGAAAGUGGGGGACCGCAAGGCCUCACACUAUAGGAGUGGCCGAUGCCGGAUUAGCUAGUUGGCGGGGUAAAAGCCCACCAAGGCGACGAUCCGUAGCUGGUCUGAGAGGACGACCAGCCACACUGGGACUGAGACACGGCCCAGACUCCUACGGGAGGCAGCAGUGGGGAAUUUUGGACAAUGGGCGCAAGCCUGAUCCAGCCAUGCCGCGUGAGUGAAGAAGGCCUUCGGGUUGUAAAGCUCUUUCGGCCGGGACGAAAUCGCGCGGGCGAAUAUCCCGCGUGGAUGACGGUACCGGAAGAAGAAGGACCGGCUAACUACGUGCCAGCAGCCGCGGUAAUACGUAGGGUCCGAGCGUUAAUCGGAAUUACUGGGCGUAAAGCGUGCGCAGGCGGUUCGCAAAGACAGGUGUGAAAUCCCCGGGCUUAACCUGGGAACUGCGCUUGUAACUAGCGGGCUAGAGUGCGGCAGAGGGGGGUGGAAUUCCACGUGUAGCAGUGAAAUGCGUAGAGAUGUGGAGGAACACCGAUGGCGAAGGCAGCCCCCUGGGCUAGCACUGACGCUCAUGCACAAAAGCGUGGGGAGCAAACAGGAUUAGAUACCCUCGUAGUCC
This 790-nucleotide ribosomal RNA is filed under the name uncultured bacterium. RNAcentral describes it as "bacterial SSU rRNA". It matches the Rfam family "Bacterial small subunit ribosomal RNA", at positions 8 to 796 of the family's 1533-position model. The record is from RNAcentral.